Non-coding RNA from Choloepus didactylus (southern two-toed sloth), 880 nucleotides. The record is from the annotation of a RefSeq genome assembly. Lineage: Eukaryota; Metazoa; Chordata; Mammalia; Pilosa; Megalonychidae.
CAGGGCUGUGUCCACCAUGGCCUGGACCCCUCUCCUCCUUGUGAUCCUCUCUCACUGCACAGGUUCCCUCUCCCAGCCUGUGGUGACCCAGCCGCCCUCCCUCUCUGCAUCCCUGGGAUCCUCUGUGAGACUCACCUGCACCCUCAGCAGUGGCUUCAGUGUUGGUGGCUACUACAUAAACUGGUACCAGCAGAAGCCAGGGAGCCCUCCCCAGUAUCUCCUGCACUACUACUCAGACUCAGACAAGUACCAGGGCUCUGGGGUCCCCAGCCGCUUCUCUGGAUCCAAGGAUGCCUCAGCCAAUGCAGGAAUUUUGCUCAUCUCUGGGCUUCAGGCUGAAGAUGAGGCUGACUAUUACUGUUUUAUCUGGAACAGCAAUGCUGCUGUGUUCGGCGGAGGGACCCAGCUGAUCGUCACCGGUGGACCCAAGUCCCCACCCACAGUCAAUGUGUUCGCACCGUCCACUGAGGAGCUGGCCACCAACAAGGCCACGGUGACAUGUCUCUUGAGUGGAUUCUACCCAGGAAGUGUAGACAUCAAGUGGAAGAAAGACGGCACCGUCAUCUCCCAGGGCGUGCAGACCACCAAGGCCUCCAAGCAGGCUGACAACAAGUACACGGCCAGCAGCUACCUGACCCUGACGGGCAGCGAGUGGAAGGCAGGACGCACUUACAGCUGCCAGGUGACGCACGAAGGGAGCACCAUCGAGAAGAAAGUUGCCGCUGCAGACUGCUCUUAGAUCCCCGACCCUCAGCCCUUCCCGCGAAGGCCUGACGUGCUGGACCCUGCUGGGGGUCUCCCCUUGCCCACCCUCACCCAUCCCAGCCCUUCUGCCCAAACCCAGUCCACUCUCAAUAAAGGAUGGUCAUUUCAAUCACAA